UAAAAGGGCUUCCGUCAUGAGUGGCACACAUAGAGCACCUUGGUUGCUCUUCACGCAGAAUGAAUAUCAACAUCAAGAGAUUUUGGAAGCAUAAUUUUUGUUGCUAGGGCAGCUGGUGAUCAUGGGUCAUGGCACCCUU
Small nuclear RNA from Choloepus hoffmanni (Hoffmann's two-fingered sloth), 139 nucleotides. NCBI's taxonomy places the organism in Eukaryota, Metazoa, Chordata, Mammalia, Pilosa, Megalonychidae. The record is from Ensembl.